UCCUACGGGUGGCUGCAGUGAGGAAUAUUGGACAAUGGGUGCAAGCCUGAUCCAGCCAUCCCGCGUGAAGGAUUAAGGUCCUAUGGAUUGUAAACUUCUUUUAUACAGGGAUAAACCUACUUACGUGUAAGUAGCUGAAGGUACUGUAUGAAUAAGCACCGGCUAACUCCGUGCCAGCAGCCGCGGUAAUACGGAGGGUGCAAGCGUUAUCCGGAUUUAUUGGGUUUAAAGGGUCCGUAGGCGGACUUAUAAGUCAGUGGUGAAAUCUCAUAGCUUAACUAUGAAACUGCCAUUGAUACUGUAAGUCUUGAGUGUAGUUGAGGUAGCUGGAAUAAGUAGUGUAGCGGUGAAAUGCAUAGAUAUUACUUAGAACACCAAUUGCGAAGGCAGGUUACCAAGUUACAACUGACGCUGAUGGACGAAAGCGUGGGGAGCGAACAGGAUUAGAUACCCCAGUAGUC
RNAcentral lists this ribosomal RNA (461 nucleotides) under uncultured Flavobacteriales bacterium. RNAcentral's name for it is "bacterial SSU rRNA". It matches the Rfam family "Bacterial small subunit ribosomal RNA", at positions 337 to 795 of the family's 1533-position model. Lineage: Bacteria; Pseudomonadati; Bacteroidota; Flavobacteriia; Flavobacteriales. The record is from RNAcentral.